Molecule: RNA transcript, 1706 nt
Organism: Humulus lupulus (European hop)
Lineage: Eukaryota; Viridiplantae; Streptophyta; Magnoliopsida; Rosales; Cannabaceae
Gene name: putative F-box protein At3g23950
Exons: 3
Source: RefSeq, a predicted model, not a curated record
UUGAAAGAAAGAAAGAAUUGGGUUGCUUCAGUCUCCCUCGCUCUUCCGCCAUGGAUAUGGGGUAUACAGAACCAUAACUCACGCUUUCAAUCUCUGAGCUUGCGUUCUUCAGUCAGUAAGAUUCUAUUAUCUGUUUAUCCCUCCAGAUUGUCGAUAAUAGAAACUAAGGACAUAUAUGGUAGAGAAACUUAGGACAAACCUGGAUAUGAACAAGCCAUUGCAGGUACCUGUCGAUUUUGAAUCUAAAUUUAUGGACAAUGUUCCAGACGAUUUAUUGGGUGAAAUAUUAAUUCGACUUCCAGAUUGUCGAGAAGCAAUCCGCUGCGGAUCCAUCUGUAAACGCUGGCUUUCUUUAGUCUCUAGUCAUAGCUUUGUUCAUCGAUUCAUCACAAACCACAAUCAGCAACAAGUUUCUCCCACGACUCUGGUGAUACAAAACCAUAUAUUCAAAAGUAGAUCAGGUGGAGGCAGUGUCGAUUCCCUAUUAUAUGAAGUGUUUCCUGAGCACAAAUCUUAUUGGAAUUGGAAUUUCCCUUGUUUCAAAGCCAAGUUUCUUAAUUUUUUACCAAUUGAAGAAAAAGAUGUCAACAUAAGAGCUUCCUAUGAUAAUCUACUACUUGUGUCUAAACAACCUUGUCAGUGGCUUUACAUCUGCAAUCCAAUCACAAGGCAGUGGCGGCGCCUUCCCAACGCCCCUCACGGCCUGCUCCUUAACCGUUUAAGGUGUGGAUUGGUGUGCCUGCCCUAUAAUUGCAGCAAUUACAGGUACAAAGUUGCUGUAUUUGGAUAUGGUGAGCAUAAUAAUCAGCUUCCAGUGUCCAGCGUUUUUUGUUCAGAGACAGGGGAGUGGAGCAAACUAGUAGUGACUCGGCCUCUGCCUCCACUCAAGAGAUGGGCUCACUUCAGUGGACAGCUUUGGUAUCGCAACCAUGUUGUUGCUUGGGAAGGAAGGAUGCACUGGCUAGACAGUGAGACUUUGGAGCGUUGCCAAGGCAUGGUUGUUUUCAACCCUUUUAUAGGUGAAAACGAUGACCAACAUAGAUUGCAGUUUGUUGCUCUACCAGUUGAAACUAAUUUGACAUUGCCCUUUACAUCCAUGCUUUAUUUUCGCCUUGGAUUGAGCCAGGGGAGGCUCCUGUUGUCUCAGAUUCAUAAAGUGAAGGAGUAUUGUUUUGUUUUGAGAGUUUGGGAAUUGAAGGACUAUGCUGGUGCUUCAUGGUCUUUGGUGCACAGUGUGGAGUUAGAGAUUAAGGCGAAGCUGGUAUUUGUUUUGGCUUUACAUCCAGACAAUAUCAGUGUUGUUUUCUUGUGGUGUGAUGAAGAAGUAAGUCGAUAACAUUUGUUGGAAAACGAGGAUGAUAGAAUUGCCAAAAUUCUACCAGAUAUCAGAAGGAGUGAUUCUGUGUACUUGUAUGCCCAUGCUCUUCCCCAUUGUUCUUGGCCGUUUACAUUCUAGUGUAAGGGCAGAGAAAGUAGAGGAAGAAGCCACUGGAAUGGGAGUAGUAGAUGGAGGAGGGACCAAAGAUGAGUCUGCAGAUGUCUUGGUCGCCAUUGAAGAGAGCAAGAACCAAGAAAGUGGUAAAGGAUCGAUUUUGGCCUGAUACCCUGUAAACAGUAGAAGAGAAAGUGUUCUGAAAGAAACUCAGAUAAACCAUGUGUUGAGCAUGAGAUGUAUUAUUUAUAGAGUUGAGUAGUGCAGCCUAAAA